Molecule: long non-coding RNA, 1049 nt
Organism: Tachysurus fulvidraco (yellow catfish)
Lineage: Eukaryota; Metazoa; Chordata; Actinopteri; Siluriformes; Bagridae
Exons: 2
Source: RefSeq, a predicted model, not a curated record
GGUGUGUUCUAGGAUUGCCCGAUACAGCUUGGGAAUUGAGUCAUAACAGUCAUAACUGUUUUCACAGUGCUCUAGCUGGCAGCCCUGCCAGAUGGCCUUUAUCGCUCCUCUUUGGAAUCGUCUCCUUAUUGGCUAACGAGAUAUCAGGGUCUCACUACUUACUACUGGCUGGCCCAACUGCCAAACAAACGGAGGGUGUUCCGGAUAUUGGCUUCUAAGCUGUCUAUCUCUGCUCUAGGGGCACAUAUUAGCUCAAGUGAAGCCUGGACUACAAAUAUGACACCGACGUGUAGUUCGUCAACUGGGAAGUGAGAGCCGGAAAAAAAAUGGAUGGGAGUGAACUCCUGUUUACAGUCUUCGAUCAGAAAAAUAACUAUUGUGAGGCGAGCAAAGCAAUUUGGAUUAAAAGGCUUAGAUAUUUCUUGGACCCUUGGGGAUUUAUGAAAAAAUAUUGGGUUUUGGUAAUAUUACCGUAAUAUUACCCCAGGGAAGCGAGGGAAAAGUUUAAAAGAACUCUUGAAUAGACCAAAGAGAACGAUGCCUCCUGAGCCCACUUCCCUGACGGUGGUCCCUGAACCCACCUCCUUGACGAUGCUCCCUGAGUGCACCUCCUUAACGAUGCUCCCUGAGCCCACCUCUUAACGAUGCUUUCUGAGCCCACCUCUCUAAACGCACCUCAUGAUGCUCCCUAAGACCACCUCCUUAACGAUGCUCCCUGAGGCCCACCUCCCUGAGCACACCUCCUUAAUGAUGCUUCCUGAGCGCACCUCCUUAACGAUGCUCACUGAGCACAUCUAUCUAAACUCACCUUCUAAACAAUUCUUUAGACUAUUUUCAGAUUUUUUAUUAUCUGUGUGUGCAGUUGCUUUUCUUAAAAACUUCUAGAAACAGUCCAAUACGGAAUCCAGCCCUAAAAGAGGGCGCAUUAAACUUGCAUUAUAUGAGAGGCUUUGACCAUGAUUCAGGGUUUCAUCUAUGACAUGCUUUUGUUGUGUACCAAAAAGUUAUACUAAACUCAAUUAAAACCAUUAUAUUCAUUUAUUCAUUCA